RNAcentral lists this ribosomal RNA (207 nucleotides) under uncultured bacterium. RNAcentral describes it as "partial 16S ribosomal RNA". It matches the Rfam family "Bacterial small subunit ribosomal RNA", at positions 568 to 774 of the family's 1533-position model. The record is from RNAcentral.
CUCGUAGGCGGUUUGUUGCGUCGGGAGUGAAAACUUACAGCUUAACUGUGAGCGUGCUUCCGAUACGGGCAGACUUGAGGUAUUCAGGGGAGAACGGAAUUCCUGGUGUAGCGGUGAAAUGCGCAGAUAUCAGGAGGAACACCGGUGGCGAAGGCGGUUCUCUGGGAAUAUCCUGACGCUGAGGAGCGAAAGUGUGGGGAGCGAACA